UUUUGGUCUGAUCGUCAGAUAAGUAAAAGGGUUCACUUGUGAUUGUAAGCAUUUUAUGGGCCACUUCUUCUGCUCUGCAAUUCAAUCUGAUGCUUAUUGCUGUCAAUCCAAGGUGUAAUCUCAAAAUCUGCUGGAUGUUCAGACAUAUGGUUUACCAUGUGAAGACAAUUCAAGUAAAUAUCUGGUCAGAGGAACUCUACCAUGCUACAUUGGGUAUUCUCCCCAUACCAUCAUCUAGAGAAAUUUCACUCUCAUGAAUCUCUUUCAUAGAAGAUGACAGCUCAGUGGAAAUAGGAGGUGCUCAUUGAAAUCUGCCAUCUCGUUCAGCAGACCUGCAACCUCAGAGGAGGCCAAGAAUAGUGUAACCAUUGACUUUGAAGGCGACUGUGAAUUUCUUCAUAUUGGGAUCAUUACAGUAUUGAGCAGACAACAUCUGUUAGUUGGUCAUUGACUGCUGUGUAAGGGCGGUGACUGACAUUCUUGUGUCAGAAGUGACCAUUCAGACAGUUAAUUCAGACCAAAGAGAAGCAGCCAGAGCAUAUAUAUGUGAGGUUGCUGAUUAUUCUUGGUGCCAUCGACUGCACAUAUAUGCCUUUGUAGAUGUUAAAUGCAAAGAUUCACAAGAAAACCAAAGAGUUUCACUACCUGACUGUGCAAUUGUGUAAUUAUGUUCUUUAAAACCUGUAAGUGAAUGCCAACUAUCUUGACUGCCCUCAUGAUGUUUUAGUUCAGCAUUUGAGGUAUAAUUUGUCAAAGCAGUGGCUGGAACUUGGGCCAAAGGUGAUCCACUGUCCACCUGGCUCAAGACUCAGGUGUGUAGCUCAACCACGCAUGGUCAGAAUGUAAAAUGAGAGCCAUGUAGCCACAUAAACAGGAUGGAUUAAUGGUUCCACUGUCUUAUCUUCUUUGGAGCAGUACCAGUGGAACUUGAGACAGCGGUCAUCACAUACUUUGUCAUGAUACAGUACAUAAUUCUCAUGGAGUUUGCCACCAUUUCUAUUUUAGAAAGAAAGAAUUUUACAGUCUGCACAAAAUCCAAUGUCAAAUUGGUGCCACACUCUCCUGAACUGCUUGACAAUAAGAGUAGGCUUUCUGGUAGAUCUGCCAAAGCAUCAAGUAUUUUUUGAGCACAUCCAUCAUC
This is a non-coding RNA of Chiloscyllium plagiosum (whitespotted bambooshark), 1141 nucleotides long. The record is from RefSeq and is a predicted model, not a curated record. Lineage: Eukaryota; Metazoa; Chordata; Chondrichthyes; Orectolobiformes; Hemiscylliidae.